Molecule: long non-coding RNA, 22243 nt
Filed under: Pelobates cultripes (western spadefoot toad)
Lineage: Eukaryota; Metazoa; Chordata; Amphibia; Anura; Pelobatidae
Source: RNAcentral
UAAUUUCAACAUGUCCUUGUGGGAUGAUGGGAAAGAGCCUCUUUGUGUGCCUGUCUAUGUAGUUUGCUGCUUGACAGAUAUCUCAAGAGUCGCCAUAUGCAGUACGAAGAAUUGGACAACGUACUAUCGGAUCUUCAUCGGUUUUCAGGUGAGAAUUAUUUUUGAUGAGUUUCAGAGUACUUCAAGAAGUUGGAAAACAACCUUUGGUCUAGGAGAAAGUCCUACCAAUUGUGAGUGAAUCCAUUAAAGAAUGAAAUUGGCUGAUGUGAUUGGAAAGAGAAAUGUUUAGAAAUAUGUGGGAUGUGGGAGACCUGUCGUUUGCUUUAUGAUUCACAGGCUGAGGAUUUCUUCAGGGGACAACUGGCUAACUAAAGAGGUCUGUGUUGCUUUCUUCUUUAAAUGUAAUGGAUGUUAUUGUGUAAAAGUAUGGGAUAAUAUUUGUAUUGUUGCGGGAGGGUUGUUUCUCUUUUUUUUUUCUAACCAAUAGUUUCAAAGAAGAGAAGAGCAUCUUCUUCUAUAGAGAAAUUGAAAUGUAAGAACCUUUCUAUUCUACUAUUCCAAAAGUAAAGAUGUUCUUGGGAUAAAGUCAGUACAAUGCAUAAUUUCAACAUGUCCUUGUGGGAUGAUGGGAAAGAGCCUCUUUGUGUGCCUGUCUAUGUAGUUUGCUGCUUGACAGAUAUCUCAAGAGUCGCCUUAUGCAGUACGAAGAAUUGGACAACGUAUUAUUGGAUCUUCAUCGGUUUUCAGGUGAGAAUUGUUUUUGAUGAGUUUCAGAGUCUCUCAAGAAGUUGGAAAACAACCUUUGGUCUAGGAGGAAGUCCUACCAAUUGUGAGUGAAUCCAUUAAAGAAUGAAAUUGGCUGAUGUGAUUGGAAAGCGAAAUGUUUAGAAAUAUGUGGGAUGUGGGAGACCUGUCGUUUGCUUUAUGAUUCACAGGCUGAGGAUUUCUUCAGGGGACAACUGGCUAGCUAAAGAGGUCUGUGUUGCUUUCUUCUUUAAAUGUAAUGGAUUUUAUUGUGUAAAAGUAUGGGAUAAUAUUUGUAUUGUUGCGGGAGGGUUGUUUCUCUUUUUUUUUUCUAACCAAUAGUUUCAAAGAAGAGAGAAGAGCAUCUUCUUCUAUAGAGAAAUUGAAAUGUAAGAACCUUUCUAUUCUACUAUUCCAAAAGUAAAGAUGUUCUUGGGAUAAAGUCAGUACAAUGCAUAAUUUCAACAUGUCCUUGUGGGAUGAUGGGAAAGAGCCUCUUUGUGUGCCUGUCUAUGUAGUUUGCUGCUUGACAGAUAUCUCAAGAGUCGCCUUAUGCAGUACGAAGAAUUGGACAACGUAUUAUUGGAUCUUCAUCGGUUUUCAGGUGAGAAUUGUUUUUGAUGAGUUUCAGAGUACUUCAAGAAGUUGGAAAACAACCUUUGGUCUAGGAGGAAGUCCUACCAAUUGUGAGUGAAUCCAUUAAAGAAUGAAAUUGGCUGAUGUGAUUGGAAAGAGAAAUGUUUAGAAAUAUGUGGGAUGUGGGAGACCUGUCGUUUGCUUUAUGAUUCACAGGCUGAGGAUUUCUUCAGGGGACAACUGGCUAGCUAAAGAGGUCUGUGUUGCUUUCUUCUUUAAAUGUAAAUGUUAUUGUGUAAAAGUAUGGGAUAAUAUUUGUAUUGUUGUUGCGGGAGGGUUGUUUCUCUUUUUUUUUCUAACCAAUAGUUUCAAAGAAGAGAAGAGCAUCUUCUUCUAUAGAGAAAUUGAAAUGUAAGAACCUUUCUAUUCUACUAUUCCAAAAGUAAAGAUGUUCUUGGGAUCAAGUCAGUACAAUGCAUAAUUUCAACAUGUCCUUGUGGGAUGAUGGGAAAGAGCCUCUUUGUGUGCCUGUCUAUGUAGUUUGCUGCUUGACAGAUAUCUCAAGAGUCGCCAUAUGCAGUACGAAGAAUUGGACAACGUAUUAUUGGAUCUUCAUCGGUUUUCAGGUGAGAAUUGUUUUUGAUGAGUUUCAGAGUCUCUCAAGAAGUUGGAAAACAACCUUUGGUCUAGGAGGAAGUCCUACCAAUUGUGAGUGAAUCCAUUAAAGAAUGAAAUUGGCUGAUGUGAUUGGAAAGAGAAAUGUUUAGAAAUAUGUGGGAUGUGGGAGACCUGUCGUUUGCUUUAUGAUUCACAGGCUGAGGAUUUCUUCAGGGGACAACUGGCUAGCUAAAGAGGUCUGUGUUGCUUUCUUCUUUAAAUGUAAUGGAUUUUAUUGUGUAAAAGUAUGGGAUAAUAUUUGUAUUGUUGCGGGAGGGUUGUUUCUCUUUUUUUUUUCUAACCAAUAGUUUCAAAGAAGAGAAGAGCAUCUUCUUCUAUAGAGAAAUUGAAAUGUAAGAACCUUUCUAUUCUACUAUUCCAAAAGUAAAGAUGUUCUUGGGAUCAAGUCAGUACAAUGCAUAAUUUCAACAUGUCCUUGUGGGAUGAUGGGAAAGAGCCUCUUUGUGUGCCUGUCUAUGUAGUUUGCUGCUUGACAGAUAUCUCAAGAGUCGCCAUAUGCAGUACGAAGAAUUGGACAACCUAUUAUUGGAUCUUCAUCGGUUUUCAGGUGAGAAUUGUUUUUGAUGAGUUUCAGAGUACUUCAAGAAGUUGGAAAACAACCUUUGGUCUAGGAGGAAGUCCUACCAAUUGUGAGUGAAUCCAUUAAAGAAUGAAAUUGGCUGAUGUGAUUGGAAAGAGAAAUGUUUAGAAAUAUGUGGGAGACCUGUCGUUUGCUUUAUGAUUCACAGGCUGAGGAUUUCUUCAGGGGACAACUGGCUAGCUAUAGAGGUCUGUGUUGCUUUCUUCUUUAAAUGUAAUGGAUUUUAUUGUGUAAAAGUAUUGGAUAAUAUUUGUAUUGUUGUUGCGGGAGGGUUGUUUUUCUUUUUUUUUCUAACCAAUAGUUUCAAAGAAGAGAAAAGAGCAUCUUCUUCUAUAGAGAAAUUGAAAUGUAAGAACCUUUCUAUUCUACUUUUCCAAAAGUAAAGAUGUUCUUGGGAUAAAGUCAGUACAAUGCAUAAUUUCAACAUGUCUUUGUGGGAUGAUGGGAAAGAGCCUCUUUGUGUGCCUGUCUAUGUAGUUUGCUGGUUGACAGAUAUCUCAAGAGUCGCCAUAUGCAGUACGAAGAAUUGGACAACCUAUUAUUGGAUCUUCAUCGGUUUUCAGGUGAGAAUUGUUUUUGAUGAGUUUCAGAGUCUCUUAAGAAGUUGGAAAACAACCUUUGGUCUAGGAGGAAGUCCUACCAAUUGUGAGUGAAUCCAUUAAAGAAUGAAAUUGGCUAAUGUGAUUGGAAAGAGAAAUGUUUAGAAAUAUGUGGGAUGUGGGAGACCUGUCGUUUGCUUUAUGAUUCACAGGCUGAGGAUUUCUUCAGGGGACAACUGGCUAACUAAAGAGGUCUGUGUUGCUUUCUUCUUUAAAUGUAAUGGAUUUUAUUGGGUUAAAGUAUGGGAUAAUAUUUGUAUUGUUGUUGCGGGUUUUUUCUCUUUUUCAGGAGGAGAUGUGAUUGGAAAGAGAAAUUUCUGUAAAUAUGUGGGAAACCUGUUUUUCCUUUAUGGUUCACAGGCUGAACAUUUCUUCAGGGGAGAUCUGGCUAACUAAAGAGUUCUGUGUUGCCUACAUUUUUUAAAUGUAAUCUUUUUUAGCGUCAACAAGCAUGGAUUGCUAGUGGAUUGUUGUUUUGGGAGACCUCUGUGGACAGGUUGAGGAUUGGGUUUAUUAUUGCAUUGUUGUUUCUCCUGUUUUACAGAUUAGCUUCAAAGAAGAAAGAACACCUUGUACAGAAAGAAGAAUUGGUAAGUGGAAGAUGUUAAAGAAAGAUGGACCAUGAAAACCUUAUUUUUGUCUAUACAUCAAAAUUCUUUCAGGUGUUAAUUCUAACAAUGCUUAAUCACUACUUUUUGGCAAGUUUCAAAACGAGCGCAAUCAAUAAAUUUUAUUGUAUUGUUGUUUUAGUAGAAUUUUUCACCGUGGAGAGAAGACAAUCUACCAACACAGAGCCCAGAACUGGUAAUGGUCUCUCUGUUCCUAUAUUAGAAAUCUUUUACGCAAAAAUUAUUGCAUAUAUUUUAAUGUGUACCAAGUUCUGAUUUCACACUGUAACAUAACUUAUUAUGAUCUAAUAUUCAUGGUCCCACCACUGUCCAGACUUGUUUCACUUAGUUAAAUAGCUAUAAUAUAUAUUAAUUGUUACAAUUAUUAAAUGAGGAUUUUUCUUUCAAAUAUUGGUUGUCAUGCUUCUCUAGGUAUUUGAUGGGGCAAGCUAACUCACUCCUCAUAAUUUUGUUACCUAUGCGUGACAAAAUGCCUUUUGUCACUGGAUUUUUAAAUGACCAACUGCCCUUUGCCCUUGGCUGUUGGAGGAGCCUGAUUGCCAGCCUCCUCCCUCGUGACUGUGGCCCUGGGGUGUAUUGCCAUUUAAAAAGACUAUUUGGGGCUUACUGGCUUCUAAAAGACUGUUUCUGCCCAUUUGAAUCCAUGGGAAUAUGUGUCUCUUCCCCUCCCUCGUUUCCUGUCUAUUGUUCCAGCAGGGCGUUGUCCCAGGCACACUGCCAGACCAGUUGGAACUUGCUGUUGCCCCUCCUCUGUCUCUCAUCAGCUCUUGCCAUGUUUUAAAGGACCACUCUAGGCACCCAGACCACUUCAGCUUAAUGAAGUGGUCUGGGUGCCAGGUCCCUCUAGGAUUAACCCUUUUUUUUAUAAACAUAGCAGUUUCAGAGAAACUGCUAUGUUUAUACUGAGGGUUAAUCCAGCCUCCAGAGCCUCUAGUGGCUGUCUCAUUGACAGCCGCUAGAGACGCUUGCGUGCUUCUCACUGUGAAAAUCACAGUGAGAGCACGCAAGCGUCCAUAGGAAAGGAUUGUAAAUGCUUUCCUAUGCGACCGGCUGAAUGCGCGUGCGCAUUCAGCCGAUGACGUCGCGAGCAAGGAGGAGAGGAGGAGUACAGCUCCCCGCCCGGCGCUGGAGAAAGGUAAGUGUUUAACCCCUUCCUCUCUCCAGAGCCCGGCGGGAGGGGGUCCCUGAGGGUGGGAGCACCCUCAGGGCACUAUAGUGCCAGGAAAACAAGUAUGUUUUCCUGGCACUAUAGUGGUCCUUUAACUCCAUGGCGAUUUGACUGUGUUUGUGGCAUCUGAGCACUGUUCGGAUAUAGUGAGCGCCCAAAUCCAAGCUAUCUGGGGAUAGGUUGAAUGUGGGGGUUCUGUUAAGUAUAAUAGGAAUUAUGUAUUUUUAUGUGUUUUUACUGUUGUUGUGAAUAGAGCUAUUUUCUGUAUGCUGGAGGUUAUUGACUUACCACACCCAAGCCAUUCUUGCAGAUGGUCACAAAGGGACUUUCAACUAACUUUUGACCCACUGGACCAAUUUGUAUGAUUUUGGCGUAUGUUUGUAUUUGGAGUAUGCUGAUUUUGAAAAUGUAUGUGAAUGUGAUGUAUACUUUCAGAGUUAUGAAUAUUGUGUAAAACUGUGUAUUUUCCUGCCUGUGAUAAUUAAGUUAGACCAUUGUGUUCAGUAAUUAUAUCACAGGCAGAGGGGAGGUUUUUGUGUGGGGAUGUCUGAGUGUAUUGUAUGUAUUGAUUGGUUGUUCUGCAAAACACUGUGGGCAGUACUGUGUGUGUAAAAUGUGCAUAAAAGCAGAAUGUUUGAUUAAAAGCUACAGUUCUUCUUCACCCUCACACGUAGUCUUGUUUCGUGAUUGGAGGGCACAACUAAACUCACACUGGGGAUUGCUAUGCUCUGCAUACUCCCCUGAGCUGUAAUCACUUAGCUCUUUUAAGAGCUUGUUCCUGUUACGCUCUCCUGGAGAAGAGGUCUUCACCACAAGGUCCUGGAGGACAAAAGUUGAUCCAGGGUGGACGAGGACGGUGAGACUCCAGUUAAGCUACGGUGGUUGUGGUGUCUGGUGUGGUGCUUGUGGUCCUCGGCGCAAGCUAGGAAGCGUCCAUCAACGGAAGGGCUUAUAUGAUACUUGCCAUUGCAAACCUGGAGGCCACAGUCCCUAGUUGUAAAUUUCAACUAUCCAGGGCAAAAUUUACACUCGCUAAUGGUUAACCCCUUAAGGACCAAACUUCUGGAAUAAAAGGGAAUCAUGACAUGUCCCACAUGUCAUGUGUCCUUAAGGGGUUAAAGGAAAGUGGGAAUAUUGAGCUCUGUGUAGCAUAUAAAUCAGUGAGACACGAGGUCUCUAUAAGGAGGCAAGUAAAGUAACCUUUAAAUUGUAAGCUCACAGUCUAUCUUGACAAGUACUUUGUAGAAAAGAGCUUUAAUGGCUAGAUCUCAAGUCAUGGGCAGGGCCUUCAUUACCGUUUGUAUUGAUUUGUGUUUAUUUUACUGUCCUGUUUCUCAUUUGAACAGCUCUGUGGAAAAUGUUAGUUUUUAAUAAAUGCAUUCAUUAUAUGAUCUAAUUGAUGGUGUCUGGCCUUCCAAAUGAAAAUAAUGAUGACAAUCUUUUAGUAGAAUGAUUUGUUUUAGUUAUGUUAAAAACAUUGUGUGGUUAUUAUGAAAUGGUAACCAGAAUUAGUUCAUGUAGACAAUUAAUUUCCGUGUAUAUGUUCUACUGCCAGGCUGGGAACCUUAUGCAUGAAUAUCUGAAACAGCAGCAUCAAACACAGCCCGAAUCAUGUAGACAGUGGGUGCAAAGUCAAGAUAUCCAUGCGUUAAAGGAGAAGAGACUAAACUUUAUUGCUGGAAUUUGAAACAACAUCAAACACAGCCAGAAUCACAUACACAUAGGGAGCUGAGUAGAGAGAUUUGUGGGUUCAUGGAGCAGAGGUUUAACAUUACUGCUCAUUGAAGAAACAAGAUUAUGGCUCAAGAUUAUGCAAAAAAGACUUUUGGUCACAUUUUUCAUCAAAGUCAUCGUUUGGGAUUUACUUUCUACUUCUAAAUGUCUUUUGAGAACAUUUAUGGAACUUUAUUUUUCUGAAUUAAGAAAUUAAACUGUCAUGUUAUCUAAUGUUAUAGUCAUUUGCAAUUUAAUUCUAAGGCUGGAAAUGAUUGGGUAUCACUAAGAAAUAAUUACAGUUUUAAAAAGAAAAGACAAUUCAAAUGAGAACAAAAUACAUUAAAAUGUUAUCAAUGAAAUCUAAUGUUUUAGAAUUUUUUUUAAUGAACAUUUUAUGUAUAUGAAAACUUUGACUGCAGUUUGACAGACAAAUAAUCAGAUAUUCAGGUCCAUUUUAUGGAAAAAGAGAAAGAAAACAGCGCUAAAUUGCCACAAUAAAAUUAUAAGAAAGGCAGCAAUCCUCAAAGGGGAGUCCCCAAUAAUCCCCUAAUGAUAACAGAUAGCAAGAACAAACAUAGAUAUAAGGAUGCGCCUAAAACUUGAUAAAAUAAAAGACUAAAUUAGUCAGAUAAAAUACAGAAUAAAAUAAGUAAUAAAACAAUAGUCCAAUAAAAUAGGCUUAUCACAGUCCGUGAGGGUAGGUCCCACUUGUAAAGGAAUAUUCUUUAGGGUGUAGGUGGGAUCAUAUCUUCAAAUGUUGAGAAUUCAGCAUAUGUGGAGAGAAAAAUAAAAACAGGACUCCAAUGGCACAGUAAAUCGGUGUAUAAAAUAAAUAUAAAGGUAUAAAAUCAGUCUUACUCACACUUUUCAGAGCUAGGAUCAGCUCUGAUAUUGCUCGCGUAAAGUGGAAUAAUCCCCACUUCAAGGAUAUAUGGAGUAAAUGUUGAUUGUUGAAUAUCUGACGUGGGUUCAGCGUUCAAUUUGACGUGAUACGACCCAGAGGAAAAAAUGAAAUAAAAUAUAUAGUGCUCACUGUAUGUAAUAAAAUUAAAAGAAAGUAAAGUAUACUACUCACGUAAAGUAGAGCAGACUCAAAACUGCUCAGUGAAGGCGCUCAGGUGGUAUAAUCCCCACCUAUGGAUUCUUUGCACUUCCUGCAGGGUGAGCCGUAUACGUAAAAGCAAUAAAAGAAAAUGUAUGUAAAAUCAGGUAAAGGAAAAAGCAAAUGGCAAUAAAGUAUUUUAUGCCAAUAAAAUAUCUUUAUUAUAGAGUUAAGAACAAAAUCUAUUAAUAUCUAAACGCGUUUCGCCUUAACAGGCUUCUUCAAGUAGAUAGUGGGAAAGAGGGGGGGCAUACCUGACAUACAUAAGCUUAUAUAGUGUGUAAUAGUACUUUAAAUUUAAAAUUCCCGCCAAAAUGACGUCAUAAAAUUAGCAUAUAGAUAAUACAGGGAAGUUAUUAUAAAACAGUUAUUGCACACAUAAAAAUUGACAAUACAGUGAUAAAAAGCAUAUUUGCAUUAUUUAAAUAUUAAAACGAAGGUUAUAAUUUACUUUUUAAGUAAAAAAAUAAAGAAAACUGUCAUGUGACACGGGAUAAGAAGUACUUCCGCGUCACAUGAUGCUCUGUGGCAUAUAGUGUAAGGGGUAGCUAUCCUGCCUCAUUCAAAGGAUAAGAGGUAGAGCCGUUUAUAUGCAAGAGCAGGUAGAUGGCUGUGGCUCAGCACAUAAGUUCACUGACUGCAGGCAGACAGCUAGCCCCACAUGAGUUCGAAUGCAAUGAAGGACAACAUGACUACAAAAGCAUAGAUAUCUACACAGGCAAAAAACAGCCAGCCCCACAUGAGUUCGAAUCCAAUGAAGGACAACAUGACUACAAAAGCAUAGAUAUCUACACAGGCAAAAUAAAAUAUAUAUAAUGAAUUAAUUGAAUUAUUAGAAUAAUAAACAGCACGUUUUUCAUAUAUUUUCUGCAAGAACAUAGAUAAAAUUAACAAUGAUUGCACAUAUGUGCUUGUAUAAAUAAAUAAAUAUAUAUAUAUAUAUAUAAAAAAAUAUAUGUUUGUAAUAUAAUAGAAUAUAAAAUAAAAUUAUAGUAGGUAGGAUAGUAUAUAUACAUAUAUAUUUAUAAAGGCACUUUUCAAUAUAAGUUAAAAAGGGGGAAGAGGAGAGUAAAAAACAAUCCUUAAAAGGGUAUCCUUAAAAAAGCAGCAAUAUUAUAAAAAAAUAAAAAGAUCAAAAUCAAUGUUAAGGCCAGUGGGAGCGAGAGUUUUCAAGUUAUAUGCCCAUUCCAUUUCUUUUUUGCCUAAAACUUUCUUAAUGUCUCCACCUCUCCAAGGAACAUUGCAGAUAUCUAUGCCGAUGCAUUUAAGGAAUUUGGGAUUUUUUCCGUGUUGUAAAAAAUGUUUUUUUANNNNNNNNNNNNNNNNNNNNNNNNNNNNNNNNNNNNNNNNNNNNNNNNNNNNNNNNNNNNNNNNNNNNNNNNNNNNNNNNNNNNNNNNNNNNNNNNNNNNGCGACCAGGUGCCCACCGCCAUGUGUUCCGGCCCGCGCGGGGGGCGGGGGGGGGCGGCACGGAUCAAUUUUCGCACCGGGGCCCCAUGGGUCAUGUGUACGCCACUGCUUCCCAGCCACGAUAUAUGUGGGUAGGACCAGUCUGUUAGUUCUUUCCUGAGUAUAUUUAGCAUGGGGGUGAAGUUUUCCCUAUAUAGGUCUCCCUUUUGUUUGGUCAGCCAUCUACCCAGGUAGCGUAUUUUACUUUCCGCCCACUGGAAUGGGAAACUUGCUCUUAGGGGGAAGGCUCGGCUGUGGGGCAGAUCAGCGUUCAGGAUCACACACACACUUACAGUCGCAUACACACUAGCUAACAGACACGUGCGCCGUGGGUCCGUCAUACAUGGCCUCGACCCAUCUGCGCACGUAGGGUCCGAGACCCACGUGAGUAAGGAUCUGGAACAAGUACUCCCAUCUCACCCUGUCGAAGGCCUUCUCUGCAUCUGUGGACAGCAGAAGAAGGUCCUCCGUGUCUCUUUUCUUGUUAUGCAUGAGGGCAAGGGCCCUUAUGGUGUUAUCCCUCGCCUCGCGGUUUGCCACAAACCCGACCUGGUCUGGGUGGACCAGUGUGGGGAUAUGUGGCUGUAGGCGCAUAGCCAAGAUCUUUGCCAGCAGUUUGAUAUCGCAGUUGAUAAGGGAAAUGGGUCUGUAAUUCCCACAGUGCUCUACGUCCUUGCCCUCUUUCGGAAUGAUGGUUAUGUGCGCCGUCAACGCCUGCUUGGGGAAGCGGUGACCUUCUCUCACUGCGUUAAACUUGGCCAGCAUCGGUUGGUAUAGUUUGUCUGCGAAGCGUUUGUAAUAGCAGAGUGGUAGGCCAUCAGGGCCCGGGCUCUUGCUUGGUUUGGUGUGUUUUAUUGCGAGUGCUAGUUCCUCCAUGGUGAUGGGCUCAUCUAGUUGGUCUGCGACCUGUUUAUCUAAUGUGGGUAGUUUGUGUGUUAGCAUGUAUUGUUGAAUGGAAUUUCUGAGGUGAGUGGUCGCUGUUUCUGAUAGAGGUUGGGGGAGCGAGUAUAGUUCUGAGUAGUAGGCUCUCACUGUUUUCAGUAUCUCUGUUGGUAGGCGGCGUAGUGAGUCUUGUUUGUCUCUCUUGAUUUUGUCGAUGUAUGUUAGUUGUCGUCGUUUUGUCAGCAUUCUGGCUAGGAGUUUGCCGCUUUUGUUGCCAUGUAUGGAAAAGAAGGCCUUGUGUCUAAUCGCGUCCCUAUGGUGUUUAGAGUGGAGUAGUGAGGUCAGUUCGCGUCGUAGUUGUAAAAGUCGUGUUUGGUGGGAUGGGUGUAGUGCUUGUUUAUGUAGCGUGUCAUGUUUGUGUAUGUCCUCUAUAAGUUUGGUGAGUCAGGUGUCUCUUUGUUUUUUGAGUUCUGCACCUUUCUGUAUGAAGUGUCCUCGUAUUACGCUCUUGUGUGCCUCCCACCUGAUUGUCGGGGAAGUGUCUUCGGGCGUAUUGUCUUGGAAAUAGUCCGUCAAGACCUUUCCGAAGUGUUCGGCUAGGUCUUGGCGUGACAGCAUGUAUUCAUUUAGUCUCCAUUUAGUUAUCGUAGGUCUGAGAAGUGGGGACCUAAGAGUGAGGGUGGUGGAGGCAUGAUCCGACCAGGUCGCCACUCCUAUGUCCGUGUCUCGUACCAACGGGAGGUGAUACUGUGUCGUGAGAAAGUAGUCUAUGCGGGUGUAUGUCCGGUGGGGAUGGGAGUAGAAAGUGAAAUCCCGUUCGUCUGGGUGAUGUGCUCUCCAGCAGUCAACUAGUCUGUGUUUGGUCAGUAGGGAUUUGAUCGCGUUGAGAUGCUGUUUGGGGAUGUGUGAUGUUCUUGUGGAACAGUCCCAGACCGGGUCCAUUGCUAUGUUUAAGUCGCCCCCCUAUUAUGAGGACCCCUUCAGCGAAGGAGUGUAAUUUGUGUAGGGUACAUUUAAGAUAGCGGUGUUGUUUAUUAUUUGGUGCAUAUAGCGUGGCGAAGGUGUAUAGGUGUUCGGCCACUGUGCCUUUUAUAAAGAGGUAUCUACCUUCUCGGUCCGUCAUGCUUGCCUUUUCCACGAAUGGAACUUUUUUGCUGAUCAGUAUUGCCGCUCCCCUAGAUUUCCCCCCAUGGAAGUCGCUGUAGUACCCUAAUGGGAAGUGGUGGUUGGUCAGCUUAGAUCUGUCCCCUUCUCGAAAGUAGGUCUCCUGUAUCAUUACUAUUGAGGCCUUCCGUGCAUGCAAGUCCCUCAGUGCCCCUGACCUUUUCUCUGGUUUGUUGAGCCCUUUGGCGUUUAUGGAGAGGAUGGUGAGGUCGCUCGGUAUCAGCGUCAUGUCAGUUGUAGUGGAGCCCGACUGUGUCGGUGUGUCCGGGGUCUGUCGGGUCGUCAGGUGGGUGGGGGGUGGGGUAGGACAGGGGAGCCGGGGAGGGGCUGGGAAGGGGAUGAGAGGAACGCGGGAGGGGGAAACUAUAUACAGAAAAGAUCCUGUCACUUGAGAGUGACGGUUUAGGAACGAGCGUCGGAGGGCAAGGCCAGGCUGGGUCCACCAGUGGUCCGCCAGGGCCCGCCCGCCUCUCUACGGGCGCUCAAUCCUAUUGGGGAAAGCAGAGGAGGCCGGGAGUCCCCGCGUAGGCUCCGUCCGGGGGGUCUGGUGUCCCGGCAGCUCCAAUGGGCAGAAGUGGUCUGGGUGCCUGGAGUGUCCUUUUAUUUUUUAAAAUUUUUUGCAAAUCUUUUUUUAUUAAACAUGUUCAGUUAACAGUAGAUUUGUGAAGAAAUAGUUUCUUUUUUCAAAAUGGUAAAUGUACAGAAUAUCGGUAUCAGUAAGUUAUCGGCUAUAGGCCUCAAAGUUCACAGAUUAUCGGUAUCUGCUCUAAAAAAUCAAUAUCGGUCGAUCCCUAAUAAGUACUAUCUAUUUUUUGUACAUCUGAAUCAUAUAUAUUUCUCCUCUUACAGAGGGGUACCUACUGAUUUAAAUAUUAUUAUUGUCUACUGUUUUCUUGUUUUAGUAAUACAUGUGUCAGAGAGGGGUUCUGUAGAUUUUUGCAGUAUUUAAUUACCCUGCCCCCUUUCUGUACUUACAUUAAACUUUCCACUUUGGGCUGCAACAUGCUGCUUCUGUAUAAAUUGAAACUGUUGCAGUUUUUCUCCCAUUUGGGAAGUUUAUGUUAUGAACAGUUACAAGAACUAGAUACAUUAUUUACUUAAGAGGUUUAUUUACAUUGAGGGGAAUUGUUUAUUCAUUUUUUGUUUCAUUGUUUAAGCUGCUGUAUUUCAUUAAAGGCACAUUUAUUAUUGUUUUUACCUAUAGGAACAUUAUUUGUUUCUUUUGUCCACUACAUUUCUGGAGCCUACAUACUAUAUAUUUUGAAUUUAAGAUUACUAUUUGCCAAGUGGCUUUUCUGUAUGUAGCUGCCCAUCUCAUUGAUUAAAUUGGUUACCACUUUUUAUCUAUUUACUAAGAAGUUAACGAUGGAGGGUCCACUUUGUGUGCUUUUUGAUACCCAUUUCACCUUAGUGAGUAAUACUGACAGAUUCCAAGUGUUGUGGACAAAAAUAUUACCCCAAUUUAUAUUACUAAAAUGCCUAUUUACUCAACAUAACUACAAUCAGCAUUAUCCAAUUUUCUAUGUGAUUUACCUAAAAUGGCUGCUAGGGAGUUUCCCCUUCAACAUCGACUAACACCCUCAUUAACAAGAUGGCGCUGGAAUCUGGGGGAGACCUCCACGAUACCAGUGACAUCACCCCCAGUAGGCAGAGCAUUAAAUGAACCACUUAACACCUAACCAAUUAUUGAUGUAUUAUUCCGUGUUAUCUCUGACAAUGCCUAUGAUGUAAUUUUGCUUUAUAAGGGGCAUAGUCCCCCCCUGAAUAAACGUUCCUCAAGUUUUUCAUUAAACCGAAACCUGUGUCUGGUGCACGCAUUAUUUCUUUAAUUUGGCCGGGGCAGAUACACAAGAUAAUCAAUUUAUUGAUUGAUAUCCAUAUCACCAAGUAUAUAUUUUAUUAGUAAGUUAUUUACAUUGCAACAGUUCCAGUGUACUGCAAUGCACUAUUCUGCUGCAGAGCAGAUAAUAUACUAUUGUAAUAAAUAAGAAUGUGCUGGUUUUCGCCAAGACACCUGGUGAGCCGUCCGUUUAGUCUCUAUUAACUUAUAAAUUAUAUUAAAGUAAUAAUAAUAGAACCUAUUGGGAACUAUUUUGUCUGUCCCUCACUGAGGUUCGCUGCGGAAGGAAACUUUAACGGUGAAACGUCUUUCGCUUACGUCACAGACAGGAGGUUAUAAUAGGCAGUGCCACGGCAACCGCUCCUUAGUCACGUCGCAGUAUCGAAGAAGGUGUGCAGCGCUCCGGACCAAGAAGAGGAUCUUCAACGGCUGAUCGCUUUUACGUCGUUAUUUCAUGUUUUACUUUUAUUUAUCAGCUGUUUUACACGCUCAGCUGUUUUACACGCUCCAUCGCCGGUUGUAGUCUCCGCAGGUAUUUCAAGCUAAAUUCCAGCUGCUCAAUAUAGAUAACACUGACCACAGCCAUAGGUUUUAUAUGUAUCCGAGGGGAUAAAAACUAGAUAAAGUAUGGAGGGGAUAAAAAUUAUAUUUAUACUGUAUGGAGGGGAUAAGUUAUAUUUAUACUGUAUGGAGGGACUAUUUAUAUUUAUACUGUAUGGAGGGACUAUUUAUAUUUAUACUGUAUGGAGGGACUAUUUAUAUUUAUACUGUAUGGCGGGGAUAAAAGGUCUACAUAUAAAUUACACGGAGGGGGUAAUAAUUCUACCCAUGUAAUGUAUUUAUUGUUAAAUCCGAUAACAGCAGCUAUACCGCCCGGUUAAUGUUUAUUAAUAUUUAUUAUGAUUGCUUUGUGGGCGGAUAGUUGUAUCGUGUUAUAAUCACGGUGUAUAAUUGGGGAUAUAAUCUGAGUAAUAUUUAAAGUCCCCGAUUAUUAUUAUUAUUAAUAGUGAGAUUACCUCACGGUCUGUGAUCCGCACGGUGUUAAUAACAUUUAAUAAAUCUCUAAACCCGUGUUAAUAAAGAUGGGGAUUAAUCCGCGUUACAGUUUAUAAUUUCCUAUAUAAACUAGAUUAGGUUUUUAUUACAGCCGGGAAUAGUGAUUAUUUAUUAUUCCGACACACAAUGUACAAGGAAUUCCCCGGUUUCUGACGACGCCCUGUUUUUACUGAUAAAGAUGGCCGCCGAGCUUCUCUGUGGGGGCGGGGAUUACUCAUUGUCGUGUAGUCAUUUUCUUUGUGACGCGCAUGCUCUGUAUUAGACCAUUGAUUGGUUCACACGGAUUAGGGGCGGGGCUAAAUGCUAAAGUAGUGGGAUGGUUUAUGUGCAGCCCUCCCACUCACUGAUCCAGACAAGGCAUUGUCUAGAUUUAUUAAACAGAAUAGUAAUUUGUCAUUAUGGUAGAAUGCUGGUGUUAUUUUGAAGCAGCUGGAAUUUAGUGAGAAUUUGUGGAGCUUUAAAAUGGUUGAUAAAUGUACAUGUGCUAAUAUUUUCUAUCAGAUUCAUUGAGCGUGGACCAUCUAAGCAUGUCAUGCAAUGGGAGUUGCCAACACAAAGACUUUGUUACAGAUAUGAACUUUCGAAAUGCUGAAAUUGAUGACCAUCACCAGCCGCCCACUUACGUUUUGAGUGUUUAUAAAAUGAGGAUUUUAUCUGAGAUCUGGUAUUUUCGUUCCGGUUUUCCAAGGGAAUGUAGCUAUUUGCUAUAACUCUAUGUGCAACUUUGUAGCAUGUCCAUAUUGUAAUGCAAGUAUUGGUUUCACUGUUCAUUAAUAAUUUAAAUUGCACAACCUGUAACUAUUUUUUGAACAUAUUGCUUACUUUUUAAUGUUCUAAUUCAUACUGCAUUUGUGUUUAGAUAACUGUAUUUAUGUAAAACUUGACCAUAAUCCUCCUUAUUUUUUAACUUCACCUCACUCCCAAGUCUGAGUUAGUUAUUUACAGUUUUUUGGUAACCAUUUAGCUAUUUUGUUUGUUUGCUUCUGUCAGCGUAUAGCUUCUCAUAAAUGAAAUCCACACCAUCCUGAAGAUUCAGCAUCCUCUGGUGGGUGGCCAUUAUGCUGUUACAACCCUUUGGUAAGCACACACUGCAUCCCAAUGGCUAGGCUGCAGACUUGGCUAUCAAGAAUUCACUGGGUCAUUAUAAGGCACCCUUUUUGGUAAGCACUCAAGUAAAAAGUUAUCCACCUGGUUUCCAAUAUUCAUCACUUGAGGGAUUUAAUUAUAUUCCUUCAAUAUGUUUACUUUAGCAGUCCAUAUCAAGUUUCCACCAAUAGCAGCUGCUUCAGCUGAGUAAUUUUUAAUUUUAGAUCUAGGCUAAUAACUUUUUUCCCCCAGUGACCGCUGAUUACUUCUCAGGCGUCAUUCUCACAAUUCCCUAUUAAUACAUAACGUUAGCAGUUUAGAAUUGUAACUAUUCUUGGUUUCCAGUUUUAAUAAAUCCCAAUAUCUUCCAACAAGACAAACUAUACUCCUAUGUAGUCUACAUCCCUUCCUAUACACGUGCUGAAAUGUGGCAAAUACUUUCACGUAUUGCCUUCAAGUAACCAUACUUUUCUGUGGUUUGUCCUGCUAGUUGUAACACAUGUGGAUGUUUUGAAUUCCUUCCUAGGUAGUUUUCUUACUACCACAGUCAGGUGUUUCUCAGUGCAUCAGAUGGUUCCUUCUGCAUAUGCUCUGGUAAAGAUGUAUUUCCAAGUAAGAUCUUUCUUUGUUGUAUUUUUGCAAUGUUUUAUGAAUGUAUAUAUUGGAAAUCUGUAAAAUUAAGUUUAAUUAAAAUGUACAGAGUUACAACUGUUUCUAUGUCUCAUUGCUGGGAGGUUAUACAAACCUUUUGGUGGUUAUCUUUCAGGUAAACGCGACAUGUCCUCACUUGUUCAUAUUGUGUUCCACCUCUAUCAAUGGACCAGAGUUCCUAAAGAUGCUAAGUACUUUACAACCUUUUAAACAAAACAAAAAAAAAACUAGUGCACAUUAAUUGGUUAUAAUGGGUACAUAUCAUUUAUUUAUUUUUUUAAAAAGUUUUAAUGGGUUGUCUUAUCAAACUGACUAUGACUUCAGUUUCUGAACAAUGUUUGGUUUAAUUUCCUUGGACAGGUUACUUGUUCUCAGUGGAGGAUGUGAACAGUCAAAGCACUAAAGUGAGCAGCAUCUCUGGCAGAUAAGUCUGUGGAAAGGUCUGCGACAUUGCAUGUAUUCUAGUAUAUUCACAACACCUGUGCAGAAUACACAUGCGGAAAACAUUGUCUUCAUAUUAAGGCGAACAUAUCCACAUAGGAGGGGCCUGGUGUAGGUGGACCAUUUUCCCAUCAGGCUGUGCUGACAUUAAGCUUAAUAUCUGGCAAAGGCAUAUCUUUCAUGUGACACUACUGGGUACUGUAUUAUCCUCAACUUGUUUUGUCAGUAGCUAUUUUUACAGCCACUAUUUUUCCAACCAUUAAAUUCAGGGUGUUAUCUCCCAUACAGGACAAAUAUAUAAUUUAUUCUCAAGUAAUGCAUGAGUUUGCAUUUUAACAGUAUCAAUUUUGUAACCCUGAAAUUGCUUGAUUUAUAGUUUAAAUAAAUCCCUUUGCAUUUAGCUAAAUGCACUGUUAUUUGCCUUCAGUUCAUACAGUGCUUUUUAAAUUUAUAUAUAUAUAUAUUUUUUAUUCAAAAUGGAUUUGGGUCAGCUAAGAUGCAGCCUUAGAUUAUAUGAACUUUAAAUAGCUGUUAUUCUUGACUCCCUUAUAGGUGACGCUUGCCAGUUCCUACAGGAAUAGAAUUUUUUUUUUUCUCCAUGCAUGUUUUUCAGAUAGUUCUUUGUUCAACAUUUUUCUUUCCUGGUUUUACCAAGCCCAUUCACCGUAGGAUGAUUUGCAGAUAACCAGCUCUUCAAAAGAAAGAUGCUUUCAAAUGAGGCUUACAUACGGUUUGACAGGGUUCUGGUCAUAUGAAGCAUUUCAAAGGUAUUCAGAUAUGUGGCUGUAUGUCACAGUUUCUAUCUUCAAAUAUGGCUAUUGUACAUAUUGCUUUUACACUCCCCCCAUCAAUAGGAAUACAUCAUGCCAUAAACCAUAUAAUAAACAUUAUUAUAGUCCCUUUUAAGUUACAAUAACUGGAUUUUCUUUCCUUUCAUGUUUUUAAAGCUGAAAUUGUUUUUGGCACUCUAGAAACCGCUUCACUGGGAGAACAUACUUCUGGUGGUCUGGUAUCCCUUGUAGGAAUUCUUGAACUGCACUAAAGUGUCUUCCAAGAAGGGUCCAUAUUAUCACAUUACUGCCAAGCAGUCUAGUUUCAAGACCCUGCCAAGAGGUCCAUAGUACCAAGUCAGUUCCAGAAGGUCCAUAUAUCAGCAUUUCUUAAGUGUUCUUCCUAGACUACAAGUUACUGAACAUUACACAAGUCUCAAAGGAAUUCAGGUAUGAGGAUUUGGAUACUAGUUAUGUGAAUGGUGAUUUCAGUUCGACAUGGAAAAUCUUGCAAAGAUCACUUUACCUAAGUCAAUAUAUGUAAAUUAGUUUUAUCAUACUGGAAAUUUUGCUGGCGAUCAUUAAACUUUUGCCUGCAACUUCAGAUAAGUCAGUUAAAUCCAGGUAACAUAUUUUGUUAGCAGGUCUGCCUGUUAACGAAGUCUCAAGUUCUAAUUGUGAUUAGCUUCAAAAUCGUUUUAAGUGAAACUCCAUUAAUACUUUGCAGUUGUGGGUCAGUGGACUUUUAUCAUAUGGGAGGGAAAACACAUUUAUAAAUAUCUCAAAUUAAUCUGUAUUUUCAUAAUUUAAUAAGUUUGUCUCAGUUUCAAAGCUUAGUAUUUCCAAAUGAUAAAUCUGAAGUACAAAGUUUAAACAAGUAAAAGUGACAAACAGAAAUCACCUAUAUAUGCGCACAUACAAAUGUGCUUACGUUAAAUAAGCUACGUUAAAUUGAAAGUUCACUAGGACUGGGCAAGCAAAAUGAUCAAAGUUAGAUGCUUUGUCAUCACCCUAUAGAUAACGGGUGCUGCCUGUCAUGGUAUGAGCUAGCUGCACAUUCUAUUCAAGUCAAUAGUUUUAAUGCAUGUAAACAUUUCUAAAUAAAGCAAAAUUGACUUAUCCUCAAAAGGAAUAGGAGCUUACUCUAAAACAAUCUCAUCUUGAGUUUCACAGCAACAAAUUCUGUUUAACAGUAGUGGUUAGAGCCAGCUUCGAUUAUACUACACAUGCAAGCGUUGUGAUGACUUGAGACAAUGCCCAAAGACUGGGGAAGAAGAGUGCUCUUUAGUAAGGUAGGUGUCUCUUGAUAGAUGCCAAUGUAAAAUGGCAGUAUGCGUGAUCUUAAAGAUCCCUAAGUACUCACAUUAAAAGAUGGUGUUUCUGUUUGAGUGAAACAUUGGGCUACUAUGAUGAGAACUUAAUGUUAAAAAAAGGUAUAUGAAAAUAUAUAUAAUUUUCUGGAUACAUCCAUGACAGCACUACAGAUGGGUAUCUUCUCCAUGUCCUUAAUUACAGCAUAACGCCUGGUCGCUAAUGGUAGAAUCGUCAAGGGGGUUUGUACAUGUACUUGUGUGCAUUGUUGGGAUAUUAUGUUGAGAACCUAAUUUUAAUAUAUACUGUUCCGUAAAGGCAGGGGACACAUUUUUGCUUAGGUCUGGAAAAACCUUUAAAAACAUUAAAUUAUAUUAACAAGGCACAUUAGUAGCAACUGAUGGCAAACUGAAAAAAAAUACAUAAAAUGAUUUCACUGAUUUAACAUGAUUUUGUUGCAUUCCAGAAUUAUGCAGCCCUGCCCUAACAUGUUGAAAGUGGAAAGGAAGGUACUAUAGAAGUAUGAUACAGGUUGGAAAUCUAAUCAUUCAUGAGAAUGGAUCAAAACACAUAAGAAAAUUAUAUUAACUCAAUGUAACUUAGGCCUGCAACUACAAUCUACCCAACUAAUUUAACUAAAGGCAUCAGUUAAGAAAAGUUACUAUAUUUAAAGAUAGUAUGAGGAACAAUAUAUUAAAUUGUGAGUGGGCAUCUUGUAUAAUUACACUACAUACACGUUUUCUAGCAGAAAUAAUGUUAAUUUGUAAUUGUCCUGUUUAUAGUUACAUCCCUCUCAUAAUAUUAUAAAGCGCUACAGAAUCUGUUGGCGCUAUAUAAAUGGCGAUAGUAAUUUAUUUACACAAAUGCUCAUUUUUAGUCAUGAUUCAUUUAGAAAUUGAUCCAAUGGUAAAAUAAUUAUAAAAUGCAGUAGUAAGGUUGUUCUUUGACCUGUGAACUAAAAUAUAAAUAAUGAGAACCUCUUUCGAAAAAAACUCUACAAAAACAUUUUUUUUAGAAAACCAUGUGUUUAAGAAAUUGGGUAUCAAGAUAAAAAAAGCCUGGCCAUGUAAAAAUUGCUUUUCAGGGUUAUAGGAUUAUAUAACCUUAAAAUAUUGCAGUUUAAGAAAUUUUUACAAAGUAUGGCUUCACUAUUGGGGAUGAAAAGAGAACAUUGCAUAAUACAGGUUUUAUUAGCAUGAAGUGGUUUGGACCCUAUUGAAAGGAAAUGUUUGUUACAUUGCAGGAAUACGAAUUUAUUAAAAGUAGGUAUGCUCAGUAUAUUACAUUAUUAAAAAAUAAAAAAAAGCAAUCCAUGAAUUCACUUCUAGUAUUUUACAAAAAAGACACAUUAAGAUGUCUGUCUGCUGUUAUAAGUGAAGGGUCAUCUGGUUUCUGUUAGGUUAACCUGAAUCAAAUAACAAACAAAAGCAUUUUCUGAACAUCAUCUGGAGACACAAAGAAGAGAAGAGUUCCUCUACCUGCAGAGAAAUGGUAAUUUGUAAGAGCCUUUCUAUUCCUAGAUUAGAAAACAAAAGAUAAGAGCAGGGGAGAAUAUCAUUGCUAAAUGCCAAAUGAAAUAAAGGGGAUUCCGAAAGAGAUGCUGACAUUACAAAACAAUCUGAGAAGUUUCCAUCAACAGAAAAAAAAAAGUUGAAUUCUUAACAAUUGUCAGGUGAGCAAUGUUCUGUUAAUUGAAAGGCUUUUCAAGGAAGAAGUUGACACUACCUAUCAUGGAUUAAGAUAAUUUCUCCAUCAUACCAUUUGUUUUUGUUUCUAUGACGAAAUGCAAAACCGUAUUUCUUUAUAACAGCUUUAUUCCAAGACUAUUUUUUUUUUUUUUUUAAAUGAUAAAAUAUAAGUCAUGAUAUUGUUGAGAUGUUUUGAUAAUGUGGAGGAUAAAUCCUCUUCUUAUUUGAUUUCCUGAGAGAUGUAUACUUGUUUUUAAGGGAAGAAGCACACACACAUAUAUAUAUAUAUAUAUAAUCUAGUUGUCUGACUGGCAUUUAUUACAAGAGUCACCAUAUGGAGAAAUGAAUCACUUGUUGAUGGAUCUUCGGUUAUUGUCAGGUGGGCAUUGUGUCCUGUUUUAAUUAGUUUCAGCGUCUCCUGAAGAGCUUUCGAAGUAACCCAAAACACAAACAAUUGUUGAAUCCAUAAAAGUAUGAAAAUUGCUGAUGUGAUGGGAGAGAAAUGUGUUGAAAUAUGUGGGAUGUGUAAGAACCUCUCUAAAACUGUAUUUUAAAAGUAAAGUUGUUUGGAGAAAUAUGUUGGUGCACUGCAUAAAUGCAGCAUGUCAUUUGGGGUAAGAGGAUAGAGCCUGUUUGUGGUGACUGGUUGCUCAGAAGCCCUCAUAUGCUGUUAGUAGAAGUGGAUCACUUGCUGGUCAAUUAUCAGGUGAGUUGUGUGUCAUCUUAAUGAAUUUCUGAGUCUAUUGAGGUUGUUGGGAAAGCAGCUUUGGGUCUAGAACAGGGUUUUCCAAACUCUGGUUAUUUUCCUCAAAUAAUCAUGUGAGUUUUGGUUUAGCAACAUCUGGAGGGCCAAGGAAUCAUAGAAGUUGUAGUUCAGCAACAUGUGGACGGGCCACAGUUUGAAGAACCCUUGUAUAGCAGGAGACUACAAAUUGUGAGUGAAUCCAUGAGUUACAGAACAUGGUUGAUGUGAUUGGAAAGAGAAAUGUAUAGAAAUGUGUGGGAGAUCUGUCAUUUGCUUUAUCAUUCACAGGCUUCAGGGAAAAACUGGCUGGCUAGGUCUCUGUUGCUUUCUUCUUUAAAUGUAAUGGAUUUUGUUGUGUAAAAGUAUGGGAUAAUAUUUGUAUUGUUGUGGCGGGAGGGUUGUUUCUUUUUUCUUUGAAACUAAUGGGUAGUGUAAAAAAAAAAAAAAAAAGGAGAAUAGCAUCUUCUAUAGAGAAAUUAAAAUGUAAGAACCUUUGUAUUCUACUUUUCCAAAAGUAAAGAUGUUCUUGGGAUAAAGUCAGUACAAUGUAUAAUUUCAACAUGUCCUUGUGGGAUGAUGGGAAAGAGCCUCUUUGUGUGCCUGUCUAUGUAGUUUGCUGCUUGACAGAUAUCUCAAGAGUCGCCAUAUGCAGUACGAAGAAUUGGACAACGUACUAUUGGAUCUUCAUCGGUUUUCAGGUGAGAAUUGUUUUUGAUGAGUUUCAGAGUCUCUUAAGAAGUUGGAAAACAACCUUUGGUCUAGGAGGAAGAACUACCAAUUGUGAGUGAAUCCAUUAAAGAAUGAAAUUGGCUGAUGUGAUUGGAAAGCGAAAUGUUUGGAAAUAGGUGGGAUGUGGGAGACCUGUCGUUUGCUUUAUGAUUCACAGGCUGAGGAUUUCUUCAGGGGACAACUGGCUAGCUAUAGAGGUCUGUGUUGCUUUCUUCUUUAAAUGUAAUGGAUUUUAUUGUGUAAAAGUAUUGGAUAAUAUUUGUAUUGUUGUUGCGGGAGGGUUGUUUCUCUUUUUUUUUUCUAACCAAUAGUUUCAAAGAAGAGAAAAUAGCGUCUUCUUCUAUAGAGAAAUUGAAAUGUAAGAAACUUUCUAUUCUGCUAUUCCAAAAGUAAAGAUGUUCUUGGGAUCAAGUCAGUACAAUGCAUAAUUUCAACAUGUCCUUGUGGGAUGAUGGGAAAGAGCCUCUUUGUGUGCCUGUCUAUGUAGUUUGCUGGUUGACAGAUAUCUCAAGAGUCGCCAUAUGCAGUACCAAGAAUUGGACAACCUAUUAUUGGAUCUUCAUCGGUUUUCAGGUGAGAAUUGUUUUUGAUGAGUUUCAGAGUACUUCAAGAAGUUGGAAAACAACCUUUGGUCUAGGAG